Molecule: small RNA, 716 nt
Filed under: Cryptococcus neoformans H99
Lineage: Eukaryota; Fungi; Basidiomycota; Tremellomycetes; Tremellales; Cryptococcaceae
Description: Cryptococcus neoformans var. grubii H99 hypothetical RNA
Source: RNAcentral
AUCGAGGUUCGACCGGGUUGAGUUGAAAUACAUAAAUGUGCCUUCAACAGGGAUGGCCAUGGGACCGAGGAAGAGUUGCUGGCAAUUGCAUUGAAUCGUAGGUGGUGUAUAUUAAUGACAAUUUGACUUAUGACGCUUCAACCUUCACCUUGCUGCACAAGCACUGCCGAACAUCGGCAGCUCCUCCUCCUUGCCAGCAACAGAUGGUAACCGCACAACCAAUCAGAAAUUAUUUAUCUUCAUUACGCUUCAUCAUGCAUCAAAUCAUUUGGGUUGUUUCAAAUCGCAAAGUUUGACGUCUGUCUAUUUAAAGGCCGACGGCCCGUGACCGGCGGUCAGUGAUCACUGGUGAUCCCCUUUUCCUGCUCCUUGCCUACUGCAAACCAUAGAGUAGGUGGUUUCGGGCCGAAAGAUCAAGAAAUGGUUUAACAGAUGAGCGAGAGAUGGGUAAGACAAACAACAAAAGGAACCUCGUCAAGAAGAUACCCCCCCCUUCUUCUUCUGCCUUCGAAUCCGUCCCAUAGAUGAAUCCAAUGAAGGUACUCCACCCUUGCAGACAUGACGAGUCAUCAUUAUUAUUGAAAUCGCUGCAUCAAACUCUGGGCUCUGAGAGUAACGGAAAGGAGGUUAUUAUUAUUCGUGGUACGAAACGAAAAACAGCAGAAAGCAUACCACGGCACAAAGAAAACCGACCAACAUCAAUUGUCAAUUAUCCA